AAAAAAUAACGAUAAAGCUUCCAUACAUUUGAAAAACCUCGAAAGAUAUCAGAAAGAGCAAUCGAACUUGCAACCCACUAACUAACAACAAAUAUAUAGGAGAUGAAUUAGCAAGUCAAAGGCAGAUGGAUCAAUCAUUGCAGUGUACCUCAAUGAUAAAACUAAAACAUCUUAAUAGAUUUGAACCAAAGCCAAAUAGAGCUCAGAAACAGAGUAGAAGGACGGAUAUUGGCUUUCAGGGUUCACACCAAACCAUGACGGGAUAUGAACACACACAAAUCACAACAACAACAACAACUACCCAGUAUACUCCCACCAGGUGGGGUCUGGGGAAACACUGAAUCACAAAUAAUAAAGAAUCGGAGAAGAAAUAAACAUGAGUUUAGUAAUGCUUUCAAUAAUAAUAGAGAAAUACAAGGUUUGGCUCCAAAAUUCUAACUGAAAACCGUAACAGAAAUUGCAAGCCAAAAAUCCAAAUCACGAGACUUGGAUGGAACUCAAACCGGCACCGAAAUUCCGAACUCAAACACAAAAGUUCGACUCAAACUUUAAUCUAACCCCAUUUUUGAGAUCCAAAAUACAAAUACUGAAUUUUGUAGUUCUUUUUUUCUAUAUUAUUUUUGAAAUAAAGCUCUAGUAAAUCAAACUCAGGCUUUUUAUCUUUUUGUUUUCUGAAAAACUGGAAUUUCAAGAACCUAAAAAAACUCAGAGAGCCUUUAAUCCCUUGAAAUAUUUUCUCCAAAAGUUCUCAAAAAAAAAUCAAACAAAAAUCCCCCCUCUUACCCAAAAAUGGUCCCUUAUAUAUCCAAACUCCGGAUUCUUUCUUCCUGUUCAAGAAAGCGGAUAAGGCUCUCUUGAAACGAGCACGUGAUGAAGGUGAGGCUCGGAUUGAAUGAGAUCGAUCCGACACCUCUCACUCAUCCACCACCCCUCUUCUUGAGCCUUCUAAUCCGCGUGAAAUAACUUGAAAACGGGCGAGUGAGGGAAGGAAUCCUGUUGUUAUCAGAGGUCGUUACACCUAUGUGGCAAGAGGAGAGAGGGGGAAGGCGCGUGAGAUGAGUUAGGGUGAAUUCGGGUGAGUUUGGUGAAGGGGAAGAUGAAUAGUGGCCUUCUGCGCAGCUUUUGGGGUCUUUGGGACGUAGGGUUUUUCUUGUAACAAAUGAUACAACACUUUCAUAUUGGGGUGGGUCAGAGACGGGUUUGGGUCCGGUUUUCU
Molecule: long non-coding RNA, 1216 nt
Filed under: Nicotiana benthamiana
Lineage: Eukaryota; Viridiplantae; Streptophyta; Magnoliopsida; Solanales; Solanaceae
Description: long non-coding RNA (NBEN_LNC002744)
Source: RNAcentral